Nicotiana tabacum (common tobacco) is the source of this 2575-nucleotide non-coding RNA. Lineage: Eukaryota; Viridiplantae; Streptophyta; Magnoliopsida; Solanales; Solanaceae. The record is from RefSeq and is a predicted model, not a curated record.
UCUCUCAGUUUUUGGGGCUUUUUCCUCUGGCUUUCGUACAUUUAAUUGAUUAUUACGUCAAAAAAUUGAAGGCACAUUCAUAAUAGCAAGGAAUCAAAAAAGGCAUCGGUCUCUCAAUAUUCUUCGAAAAUCAUUCCAAAAUAUUUCUCACCGCUUCAAAUCUGGCGAACAUAUAUCAACAAUGAAUAGAACCGCUUCCAUUGCAGUGGCACCAAAAAUUGAUAAUAAAUCAACAAUCAACAAGGAGAAGAAACAACCCAGCAACCGUUUCAAGCUAAAUCUCAAUUCCAGAUGCAAUAGCGAGAAGAAAUCAAUUUAACCAUCUGUGAGAAAGAUAUGAAGGUAACUUGCAGAGGAGUUGCAGAUGGUCGUGACUGAAGUGGAACCACUGAGACCAAUGAGGUGCAUAAUAUGAAACGUCUCAAGGUGUUUUUUUGUACUUAAAUCAUUGUUCAUCUCUUAAGUUUUCAUCUAUUCCGUAAAGUUAUUUGAAUGUGCGAAAAGCUUAUGGUAGUUCUCUGCCUCUCUCAUAUUGCAUUCAUAGACUCCGUGACAUAGUAUAUCUGAGCAAUUUUUGGACUAAGCAACAGUCCCUGAAAACUAUAAUCCUCAAACCUUUUCAAGUACUCAGUCUCUUUUUAAUAUACCAUGUUGGUAUUAGUCAUGGCCAGCUUGCACACUAGAGAGUUGUUGGGAUGGAGCAUGAAUUGUCACAUCAUAUGAUGAAGUUUACAACAGCUUUUAUGCUUGUGUGUGCAAGAAAAGCUUGUGAGAAAAAUCUAUGCCUGUGAUUUUGAGAAUUCUUUUGCUAUUCAACAUAUGACUAUUCUUCUCUACAAAGUCUUGAUGCUAACCAACAGGCACAAUCUGGAACUAAAAAGCAAAUUUCACGUUUACUUUAUACUAUAUGGAGUAUGUUUUCUUGUAAAAUAAAGGGAGAAAAAAGAAAAUAGUGAUCUUUAACCAAUCUCAAAAUAGGAACAUGAAGCUUCUCACCAUAUUAUAUGUUUGUUUGGUUAUAAUAUAAUUUAUCAAUGUUUGUGGCCAUGAGGUAAUGUUACAGAAUAUUUAUCAGGAACAUGAUGCUAAUAGUGUCCAUGAACGAGUACCACAGACAUCAAGGAUACCUAAUAUUAUUGAAAAUACUCCAAUGUCUUACGGUAUUACUCAUCUUUAUCCUUCGGCAAGCUACUAUUUGAGUUUUCUAUUGUUUGAAUUUUCCUCCAAUUUUUUUUUUUUAUCAUUGGAGUCUAAUUUCAUGCAAACUUGCAAGAGUUAGCAUGAACGGCAAAAUCUUGCAGCUUUCACUUAUUUAUAUUAUAACAGUAACUUCACUUGCCUAAAUAAACCUCCAGGGUACAAUUUUGCAUGUAACAAACAAUACUUGUUAAGAUGGUUGCUGUUGUUCUUUUCACUACUUGUAAUUUCAGAAUACAUCAUUUUCUUCUCAUGUUUCUCUAAUUUCUCCUGGAAAUCUGAUCCAUUACAACCCUCAGUGGCUGCAAGAUAUUUGUGUUCUUUUAGGCAUGGAAAGUCCAUGAACUUGUGCAUAUUGGUAUUUAACAUGUAGUUGGUUUGCAGAUGUGAUAACUUAUUUUUUUCCUGCUGGAUGGUUGGUCUGAUGGUGCUGUUCAUUAGACAAUGCACAUGUUCUUAAUGUCUAAAUUUGUAUGAUCAUCUCUCUCUUGCAUUCCUCUUAUAUUUAGUGUUGCGCUAGUAGGAGAAGAAGAUUUCUUGCUUAUGUGUACAUCUAAAGUGCAUCGCAAACCUUUUAAUUUGUGUUUAACUGAUUGUAUGCAUACCUUACUCUCCUUUUAUCUAAUUUAUUGUCGUUAAGAUUUGUUUUGUUAGGUUUCGCAUGAUACCUUGUCAUUUCAACCCCAACAUAUGUAUGACUAGUGAAAUAAAUUAAUGGUGAAUCUUGCUCUAUUUGUCAUUCAAUCUCUCUAUUCAAUGGAAGUACAAACUAUACAAAGAAAAAUAAAAGAUUGGCCAACAAAGAUAAAUAACAACUUGAUCAUUUGUUUACCCCUUGAUUUUGGUGUUUUUCUGCUUUCAUUUACCUAUAAGAAAGAUCAAGAAAUUGAGAUUCUAUAACGUUAUAGCCACUUCGUUUAUCAAGAAACUAAAUGAAUCAUGUUACUGGAAGCCUUUUGAUACACAUUUGUCUUUGGGACGAGAAAAAAUGUUGCAUAUGCAGAGACUUCCUUCUAUUCCCCGACAGGCAUGGAACCAAGCCAUAAGGCUAGCCAUUGAAAGCUAUAAAAUGGGAACAAUCUUUGGCAAUGUGAAGUUUGUCAAACUUGUGAUAGACAACUCUAAUCCUUCCAUACAUAAUCUUCCAUCCUGCUGCACCAAGUAUUAGGGGGUAAAGUUCUUAGACAAUGACUUCUGACCUUUUCUGGAAAGAUGGACAUAGUAUUUUGUAAACAUCUCUGUAUACCCUUUUUCUUUCUUUCCCUAGUGUUCUGUGAUCCAUGCUCAUAUUACCUCAAGCUCAUAUUAACUUACAUACACUUUCUUUGUCUAAUCUAUUUAGUAUUAUGAGCAGAUUAAGUGACAUGCUUCACUAUUA